GCUACUAAAACACCCCUUCUGGAGUAGAAGCUGCUGGAAGGCAGGCCUGAGCCAUUCACCACGGACAGGAAGAGCAGCCCUGGCUAUCACCACUCGCCUCUGGGGUUUUCAUAUCUUGCCAUCUCAUCCAGGGUUCCGUGAGUUACCCAGGGUCCUCAUGUCCUUCCUUAGAGCCUGAGUGGUGUGAGGUGACAGGUCUCUCUCUCUCCACUGCCCCUUUCUGGUUUAAAAAAAUGGUCCUUACCUCUGAUCCACUUAGAGCAAUAACCACUUUUUAAAUGUAAAAUAAAAAGACAAAUGAAAAGGCA
RNAcentral lists this small RNA (308 nucleotides) under Pongo abelii (Sumatran orangutan). RNAcentral describes it as "processed transcript". Lineage: Eukaryota; Metazoa; Chordata; Mammalia; Primates; Hominidae. The record is from RNAcentral.